GGUCGACGAUUCCUACGGGAGGCAGCAGUGGGGAAUUGUUCGCAAUGGGCGCAAGCCUGACGACGCAACGCCGCGUGGAGGAUGAAGACCUUCGGGUCGUAAACUCCUUUCGACCGAGAAGAAUGGCUCCCGACCUAAUACGUCGGGAGCAUGACGGUAUCGAGGGAAGAAGCCCCGGCUAACUCUGUGCCAGCAGCCGCGGUAAUA
This 207-nucleotide ribosomal RNA is filed under the name uncultured bacterium. RNAcentral describes it as "partial 16S ribosomal RNA". It matches the Rfam family "Bacterial small subunit ribosomal RNA", at positions 327 to 525 of the family's 1533-position model. The record is from RNAcentral.